This 301-nucleotide ribosomal RNA is filed under the name uncultured bacterium. Its description in RNAcentral is "partial 16S ribosomal RNA". It matches the Rfam family "Bacterial small subunit ribosomal RNA", at positions 509 to 807 of the family's 1533-position model. The record is from RNAcentral.
CAGUCGCCACGGUAAUACGAAGGGGGCUAGCGUUGCUCGGAAUGACUGGGCGUAAAGGGCGCGUAGGCGGCGAUCAAAGUCAGGCGUGAAAUUCCUGGGCUCAACCUGGGGGCUGCGUUUGAUACUUGAUUGCUAGAGUGGGGAAGAGGGUCGUGGAAUUCCCAGUGUAGAGGUGUAAUUCGUAGAUAUUGGGAAGAACACCGGUGGCGAAGGCGGCGACCUGGUCCUUGACUGACGCUGAGGCGCGAAAGCGUGGGGAGCAAACAGGAUUAGAUACCCGGGUAGUCCCUGUCUCUUAUAC